RNAcentral lists this ribosomal RNA (253 nucleotides) under uncultured bacterium. Its description in RNAcentral is "partial 16S ribosomal RNA". It matches the Rfam family "Bacterial small subunit ribosomal RNA", at positions 524 to 776 of the family's 1533-position model. The record is from RNAcentral.
UACGGAGGGUGCAAGCGCUAAUCGGAAUUACUAGGCGUAAAGCGCACGUAGGUGGUUUGUUAAGCCAGCUGUGAAAUCCCCGGGCUCAACCUGGGCCCUGCAGUUGGAACUGGCAAGCUAGAGUAGGGUAGAGGGGUGUGGAAUUCCAGGUGUAGCGGUGAAAUGCGUAGAUAUCUGGAGGAACAUCAGUGGCGAAGGCGACACCCUGGACUCAUACUGACACUGAGGUGCGAAAGCGCGGGGAGCAAACAGG